This 208-nucleotide ribosomal RNA is filed under the name uncultured bacterium. RNAcentral describes it as "partial 16S ribosomal RNA". It matches the Rfam family "Bacterial small subunit ribosomal RNA", at positions 1293 to 1500 of the family's 1533-position model. The record is from RNAcentral.
UCGGACUGCAGUCUGCAACUCGACUGCACGAAGCUGGAAUCGCUAGUAAUCGCAGAUCAGAAUGCUGCGGUGAAUACGUUCCCGGGUCUUGUACACACCGCCCGUCACACCAUGGGAGUCAGUAACGCCCGAAGUCAGUGACCUAACCGCAAGGGAGGAGCUGCCGAAGGCGGGACCGAUAACUGGGGUGAAGUCGUAACAAGGUAUC